Molecule: transfer RNA, 69 nt
Filed under: Lyriocephalus scutatus
Lineage: Eukaryota; Metazoa; Chordata; Lepidosauria; Squamata; Agamidae
Description: tRNA-Ile
Source: RNAcentral
GAAGCGUGCCCGAGCUAUAGGGACUAUUUUGAUAAAAUAGCCACAGAGGCCUCAACCUCUCCCUUCUAA